Long non-coding RNA from Harpegnathos saltator (Jerdon's jumping ant), 203 nucleotides. RefSeq lists it as uncharacterized. The transcript has 3 exons. NCBI's taxonomy places the organism in Eukaryota, Metazoa, Arthropoda, Insecta, Hymenoptera, Formicidae. The record is from RefSeq and is a predicted model, not a curated record.
CAUUUCUGUUUUAGUUGUUGCGGAAAGUAACAACAAUCCGGCAGAUGCGGAUGCCGUACCGGUGGAUCCGGUCGGGCCAAGCAGAGUCGAUCGGAAGUUGUGCGGAAAACAACAGCAAUUCGGCGGACGCGGGUGCCGCACCGAAGGAUUCGGUUCGGGCCAAGCAGAGUCGGCUUGAAGAGUUGAAGCGGAACGUGGCCGGC